AGAAGUGUAGAUAGUAUAGAGAGCCCAAAUCAAACCAAAGACACCAAAAAGGAUCCAACCAAGAAGGUUGUUGCUGAGCCCAAAUGGAAGUCCAGUUCCUUCGGUGCUCAUUCUCUCAUCCACAAGAGCCAUUGCUGUUGGAUUUGAGAUGCUUGCUGCUACUGCUGCUGCCAUCAGUGAUUCUCCUAUUCCCAAGUUUGAUUCCCCUUUUGGCUUUCCCUCCAUUGAGCAUCUCACCUUUCCAACCUUGCCAAAUGAUGGCAAUCCAACAACAGAUGAGGGACGAGAUACAGAUCCCUUUUGCACGAGGGACACAAUUGCCACCGAAGAGGUUGCAGAGAUGGUUG
Molecule: long non-coding RNA, 347 nt
Filed under: Capsicum annuum
Lineage: Eukaryota; Viridiplantae; Streptophyta; Magnoliopsida; Solanales; Solanaceae
Description: long non-coding RNA (CANN_LNC015013)
Source: RNAcentral